RNAcentral lists this transfer RNA (73 nucleotides) under Camelus bactrianus (Bactrian camel). It matches the Rfam family "tRNA". From Rfam's summary of the family: Transfer RNA (tRNA) molecules are approximately 80 nucleotides in length. RNAcentral also lists the same sequence under 1 other name. The record is from Rfam by way of RNAcentral. Lineage: Eukaryota; Metazoa; Chordata; Mammalia; Artiodactyla; Camelidae.
GAGAGUAUAGCUCAAGUGGUAGAGCACAUGCUUAGCAUACACACGGUCCUGGGUUCAAUCCCCAGUACUGCCU